This 360-nucleotide ribosomal RNA is filed under the name uncultured soil bacterium. RNAcentral's name for it is "bacterial SSU rRNA". It matches the Rfam family "Bacterial small subunit ribosomal RNA", at positions 26 to 377 of the family's 1533-position model. The record is from RNAcentral.
AGGAUGAACGCUGGCGGCGUGCUUAACACAUGCAAGUCGAACGAUGAAGGCUGGAGCUUGCUCUGGCUGGAUUAGUGGCGAACGGGUGAGUAACACGUGAGUAACCUGCCCCAGACUCUGGGAUAAGCGCUGGAAACGGCGUCUAAUACCGGAUACGAGCUUCCACCGCAUGGUGAGGAGCUAGGAAAGAAUUUCGGUCUGGGAUGGACUCGCGGCCUAUCAGCUUGUUGGUGAGGUAAUGGCUCACCAAGGCGACGACGGGUAGCCGGCCUGAGAGGGUGACCGGCACACUGGGACUGAGACACGGCCCAGACCUCCGUACGGGAGCAGCGAGGUGGGGAAUAGUUGCACAAGUGGGCG